This 326-nucleotide ribosomal RNA is filed under the name uncultured eukaryote. Its description in RNAcentral is "partial 18S ribosomal RNA". It matches the Rfam family "Eukaryotic small subunit ribosomal RNA", at positions 1470 to 1796 of the family's 1831-position model. The record is from RNAcentral.
CCCUUAGAUGUUCUGGGCCGCACGCGCGCUACACUGAUGCAUUCAACAAGCCUAGCCUUGACCGAGAGGUCCGGGUAGUCUUUGAAACUGCAUCGUGAUGGGGCUAGAUUAUUGCAAUUAUUAAUCUUCAACGAGGAAUGCCUAGUAAGCGUGAUUCAUCAAAUCGCGUUGAUUACGUCCCUGCCCUUUGUACACACCGCCCGUCGCUCCUACCGAUUGAAUGUGUUGGUGAGGAGCUCGGAUUGGCAGCAGUUGGUGGUUCGCCACCGGCUAUUGCUGAGAAGUCCUCCAAACCGCCUCAUUUAGAGGAAGGAGAAGUCGUAACA